Molecule: ribosomal RNA, 257 nt
Filed under: uncultured bacterium
Lineage: Bacteria
Description: partial 16S ribosomal RNA
Rfam family: Bacterial small subunit ribosomal RNA
Source: RNAcentral
CGGACGGGUGAGUAACGCGUGAGUAACCUGCCUUCAAGAGGGGGAUAACAUUCUGAAAAGAAUGCUAAUACCGCAUGAUAUAUCGGAACCACAUGGUUCUGAUAUCAAAGAUUUUAUCGCUUGAAGAUGGACUCGCGUCCGAUUAGUUAGUUGGUGAGGUAACGGCUCACCAAGACCGCGAUCGGUAGCCGGACUGAGAGGUUGAACGGCCACAUUGGGACUGAGACACGGCCCAGACUCCUACGGGAGGCAGCAUG